GGUAAAAUAGAUCCUGGCAUCUUGCUACGAUAGGGUGGCUGCAGUGCCGUUUCCGGAAGGCGGGGAUCACAUCCACCUCUACUCCCUCGAUAUUCGGCGCCACGCCGCUUCUGCAACUCUUGUAUGCCCUUUGCUUCUUAAGACGCUCGCCGCUUGCUUCGCGUAGUUGAGCCACCAGGUUGUGCGCUCCGGUCUUAACGUCACCUCUCCUCGACAGCGUUACGCCAGGCCCGUAGUUGGCUCUCUCUCGGGCCCCGUCUCACUACCAAUUGCGUAGAAUCCUCUCGGAUCCGUUUAAUAAACUCAAAAACAAACGAAACGUUCCACACAGGGAAAUAAAUACAAAUUCUUAAAAUAAAAUCAGUCCAACGCCACGCGAAACGCUCCGCAGCCCAUCCGGCCCCACGACGUAACCGAAUUCGCCUAAUUUUGUGACGUGUAUCAAAAUGCUACGUCACAAUAUAUAUACACACACAGGGUUAAUCAGUAAAAACGCACCUGAAGUUAACCCGUCCAUUUGAUUUGUAUAGUAGAACCAUGUUCAGGUGGUGCGUGUCUACUGAAUAACUCUAUAUAUCAACUAUAGUGGGUUCACGCUUGCCUCAGACUGCUCGUACAUGUUGGUAAAUUCGGUGAACUGGAUCUCUGAUUGGUCAGAUUCUUAAGUCUUUCCAACUACAGUUAAACGACUUCGAAUAUUAAACGGAAUAAUAGAUGAAAUGGUAUGUAAGGAAAAACCUAUCAAAACCAAAUGGGAUGUAUAAUUAAAGUACACUUAGGUCUAUACUCUUAUAGUUUCUUUUAAAGUGGUCUGGCGAUGAUAAUUAUAAUAAGAACAGGGAAUCAUGGGUUAAGUAGAUAGU
Long non-coding RNA from Cephus cinctus (wheat stem sawfly), 863 nucleotides. RefSeq lists it as uncharacterized. The record is from RefSeq and is a predicted model, not a curated record. NCBI's taxonomy places the organism in Eukaryota, Metazoa, Arthropoda, Insecta, Hymenoptera, Cephidae. The transcript has 3 exons.